Molecule: ribosomal RNA, 334 nt
Filed under: Staphylococcus aureus
Lineage: Bacteria; Bacillati; Bacillota; Bacilli; Caryophanales; Staphylococcaceae
Description: partial 23S ribosomal RNA
Rfam family: Bacterial large subunit ribosomal RNA
Source: RNAcentral
AAGCGGUACGCGAGCUGGGUUCAGAACGUCGUGAGACAGUUCGGUCCCUAUCCGUCGUGGGCGUAGGAAAUUUGAGAGGAGCUGUCCUUAGUACGAGAGGACCGGGAUGGACAUACCUCUGGUGUACCAGUUGUCGUGCCAACGGCAUAGCUGGGUAGCUAUGUGUGGACGGGAUAAGUGCUGAAAGCAUCUAAGCAUGAAGCCCCCCUCAAGAUGAGAUUUCCCAACUUCGGUUAUAAGAUCCCUCAAAGAUGAUGAGGUUAAUAGGUUCGAGGUGGAAGCAUGGUGACAUGUGGAGCUGACGAAUACUAAUCGAUCGAAGACUUAAUCAAAA